This 447-nucleotide long non-coding RNA is filed under the name Setaria viridis. Its description in RNAcentral is "long non-coding RNA (SVIR_LNC010368)". The record is from RNAcentral. Lineage: Eukaryota; Viridiplantae; Streptophyta; Magnoliopsida; Poales; Poaceae.
UCGGGUCGAAAGGGAACUUAAGAAGAAGCAUGGUUAAUUAUUUUUUGUUCUAAGGGUGACUUGUAUUGCGUCGGCCGUGUAGCCCAUCAUCCGUACCGAAUAAUAAAUCGGCCGAUUUGGAUGAUUAUGUUUUCUCUUUAGGCGAUUUUUCUUAUAUCAGCUGUGUGUUUGUUUUAUCAUGGUCGAUCCUUAUGCUCCGACCCAUAUACUAGGGUAGUACCUUUUCAAGUAUCUUCCGUUCAAAGCCCUAGUAAACUCUUCUCCUUCGAUCGUUUCCAGAAUAUAAGCGUUUCCCGGAGCACAUCGGCCGAUUUUAUACGGCCCUUCCCACGUAGGGGACCACUUACCGAAUUUAGGAUCCUUUGACCCGAUCGGCAGCACUAACUUCCAUACCAGGUCCCCCGGAGAGAACUGCUUGACCUUGACCUUCUUAUCAUACCAUCUGGC